GCCUUCACCUCUUGAGCUCAAGUUAUCCUCCUGCCUCAGCCUCCCAAAGUGUUGGGAUUACAGGCGGGAGCCGCCAUGCCCCAGCCUAUUGAUAUUCUUGUUGAGGUUCUCAGACAUAUCUGCAUGGCCUCACACAUGGAGGAAAGAGACCCACAGAGGCAAAAACAAGACAUGGGGUAAAAAUAGACUGGAAGGAAACACACCGAAUGAUAGUGGUUUUUUCUGGGUGUUGAGAUUACCGAGCUUAUUUUUAAAUUUCUUAGAUCCUUCAGGUGUUCUACAACGUAAAAUGCAGACAGGGUGGGGACGUUGGUUGGAGUCAUGUUUUCCCUAAUGUUCUUACUGGUUCUAAAAUCUUCAAGCUAUGCUCUCACCCAAGGCUUCACUUAUUAUUAUUUUAACACUGUGGAUUCAUAAAGAAUGGAAGCCCACACAAGUCCAGGGAAGGAAGGAAAGGCAGACAGAGGCUUAUUUUCAGGCCUGGGCAGUUGCACAGGGUCCCUUGCUUAGAAGGGCCUCAUGCUUGGUUUCGUGUUCUGUGGUCGCUGUCCUGAAAUUCUUACUGAUUUUUGAACAAGGGAUCCUGUAUUUUCAUUUUGCACUGUGCCCUGAAAAUCAUGCCGCCGUCACUAGCCCUGGGAUUCUCCCCAGGACAGGUUUCCCUUCAGCUGCUCUAAGCCUUCGCCCUUGUCCUUGUCCAACCACGGACGUGGCCAUCCACGGAGCCCUCUACGUGCCUCAGAGCAAGUGUGCUUCGGCUGCUCAGGUGUGUGUCUAGAGACUGAUAAAAACAGGGCUCGUGAGUGGGUGCGGGAGGCCCCUGUGGUCUCUGUUCACACACGUACCUACCCUCAAGGCCAUGUCUACACUGGCCUAUUUCAGAGAACCGCCCUGUGCAUCAUGGGAUGCUUUGCCCCACAUCACGGCCCAGCUUGGUUCAGUCCUGGAGCCCUGUGUCCUGAAGCCAUGACCAACCCCAGGCCUGGCCCACCUUCUUCCUCAGUCUCCUCUCCCUCAAGCCCUCCACAGGACCCAUAAACCUUCCAUCUCCAUGUAAUCCUUUUGUGUGAUCCUUCUUCCAUACCUUUGCCCAUGCUGUUCACUCUGCUUGUACCAGCAAGGUUCCUUCCUCCCCAGAUCUGCCCUUUCUAGACCCAUCUCAGAUUCCACCCUUUCUAGAAAGACUUCAGGAAGUAUUUGAGAAGGGCCUGAAGAUGCUGUGGUUGCAUAGAGGAGGAUAUGAAUCACCUCGCUUAGAGGUAUCGGGGAGGGCUCCAUGGAGGUGGUGCCCUCAGGCCAAGGAAGAGAAGAUAUCUUCCGGGCAGAAGGGAGAGUUUGACGGGCUGGUUUGAUGUCAGACAGACCACAGGAUGACUCAAGGUCCUCUUUCCUCUUCUUAAACAUUAGUUGCAGCAAGUCCCACCAUCUGCCUGAGUCUGUUUUCAUCUCCACAAUGGAGGUGGUGAUGCCCAGCACACGGAGCUGUGAUGAGGAUUUAAUGGGGAAUCCAGAGCAUUUAUGGAAGUGCCAGGAGGCCAAGAUUCUGCAUAGGGACUGCAUGUGCUGGUGGAAUCUCAGUCACCAUGUCCCACGUUGAAGGAUGUUUGGAGGGGGCUGACUUUGGUCACCCUUCAAAUCAUAAGUUAUAUGCGUCUGCCCUUUCCGCCCACACGUAAGUCUGAACCUUUUGCCAAAAACACUUUUCCCAGACUCGAAAGAAAACCCCAAAGAGGAACCUAAACCUUCACGCUGCCUGCACCGAUUGGACCGGAGUGCUCAGGCUCGCGCCAACAAGUGUUUCAAAGAAGAAGCCAGACAGUGAAGGGGGAAGUGAGGGAGAAGCUGGAAAACUCUCAGGCUGACCAAUCGUCAGCCCAUUCAUUCGUUCAUCCAUCCAUCCAUCCAUCCAUCCAUCCAUCCAUCCAUCCAUCCAUUCUUUCUUUCUUUCCUCUAUCCAUUCAGUGAGAAGGGCUGAAUAUCACCUGUGAGCCUGCCCCUGCUCCCAAGAACACCCUUUGGACACCUGUGGGCUCUGCAAGGUUGGUGUAACCCCUACAGAUGAGGAAACCAGAGACAGAGAAGUGAAGUAACUCAUGCAGGUGACGGCAGAGGGCAGAGUCAGGACUUGAACCUGGAGAGCCUGGCUCUAAAGCCCAAGCUGGAAUCUCGAUACUCUACACCUCGAUAAGUUUUUGGGAAAUGACUGACUAAACAGAUGAACGCGUUUGCCCCCCCGCCGCCCCAGAGCCCCCUUAAAGCCUACAUGUGGCAGUUUGGGCCCAUUUCCUUGGCUUCCCUCCCUGGAGGGGCACCCACUGCCAGUGUCCCUGGUGAGUGUUUGCCUGUGGGGGUACAAGUGAGGGUUCAGCAAAGGUGACCUGGUGUGAGGGGGGGGUGCCCCAGGGGGUGCAGAGGAGGGCCUCAUGAGGCAGAUUCAGAAUGAAGGUUCUGGCCCCCAGUGGAACCGUGCAUGGGCAAGGGGUCCUCAGGGCCAUUGGCCCAUAAUUGUCAGACGGGGAAACUGAGGCCCAGAGAGAGGAAGGGACUUGUCCUUAGUUACACAGAGUGUCUGGAUCACAGCUCUUAGGUCUCAGCUUCCCCAUUUGUCACACAGGGAGAAUAAAUCCCCCUUGUCCUGCCUGGGGGUAGACCCCAGGGGGCCCCUGUGCCCUCUCACACCUUCCAUUCCAGCUUCUAGAAUUCCACCAUCCAUGCACCAGCCCUGAGGGUAGGCGUUGCCCUCUUCUCACCUCCUGCUCACGCCUCUACUGCAGGAUGGGAACCAAAUGCCUCUCCACCCUUUUCCCACACCCCUUCUCUCCACAGUGAACUGAGGGGAGUUUCUGAUCCCUUAGCUCAAAGUCAGAGAAACUGAGAGGGGAGGGCUGGGUGGGAGCCGUGGGAAUGUCAUGCACAAGCAGUCGGACUCUCCAGGGGUCUGGAUCUCUCCCUUGCUGCCUUGAAGGCCCCUGCACAGGCUGUGGCACUGGCUGAGUACAGGUGCCUGAAGGCAGAGGCAUGGAUGGGAUGCUUCAUUCUCAGCCUGUUUUUGCCAGUGAAGACAAAAGGGAAGUCAUCUUCCGUUGGUCUAUGGGGACCCUGAGGUAGUAGGAGCUCGGUGAUAAUUCUAGGGACCACCCUGGGUUGUCAGGUGGGGGAGACAGAGAAGCCCACAUAGGAGGCACCAAAUGCAACUCACUCGUGCCCUUUUACUCAUGAGAGAACACGGAUCCAGAGAUGUCAAGUGACUCAGACACAGUCUCACAGCACACAGGCGGCAGAGGCAGGUAGGGGACUGGGCUUCCCUGGCAGCAGUCCCCAAGCCUGCCUGAGAGGCACAUCAGAAUCGCUUUAGGGGAUUUGCAAAACCACACCUGCCCAGGCCCAAACCCUAGAGAUUCUGAUUCCGCAGUCUGAGGUAGGAAUGGAGAAUCCUCCACAGCCUGAGGUAGGAACUGGGAAUCCAGUGUUUAAAACUCUCUAGGGGCGGUGAUUUCAGAAAACCUGCUGGCUCCAUCACACUUUGCUCAGGGACUGAGAUGGGAUGGCAUUUGGAAGACACAGGUAGGAGGAAGAGGAGGCAGUGGGGGGCACAGGGAGACCCUUCCCCUUCUGGUAAAAGCCUGUGGACGAGAGAACAGCCCGAGUAAGAUUCUGAGAACCCGAGACCCGGAUGGACCUGGAGUUUUUGUCUUGCGUAUAAUUUAGGGGGUCUGUGACACUGGGCUGGAGAUAACCGUGUCUUUCCUUUCCCUGGCCUCUAGCUGAAAUUUAGCAUCAUAUUCCAUGGCGAUUUUCCACCAGUGGAAAUCACAGGUGUUCUCUGGUAUCACAGCGGGGUCAGGGAUGACCUGAAAUAUUGUUCAUGCUCAUCACAACUGCAUGGCCCACCGCGGGGUCUUGUCACUCAGUGAGUUCUUGAAGAGGCACAGACAAAUGGAGUUCAACAAAUGGAAAACAACUGCCUUUAAUUAGCUCCGAGGACUACAAAGGGAACAACGUUAUAAUAGCAGCAACUCCAAGGAAGCAGCCACAGCUCUCAGCUCUCAGACCUGGGGCUGCCGCUCAUCAUCAGCUACAGCUAGGUUUGAUGGGAGUGCCCCCAUUUCAGGGGACAGCAGGCCCCCUUCACUCCCCGACUCAGUCCCCAUCUGCAGCAGCACAGCCUUCCUUGGCCUCACCAGGGAAGAAGAACAGGCCCCGCUCUCAGACAAGCCUUCCCAGAAGCCUGAGGACUCAAACACCCAAAUGUGUCUGGGUCCCUGCCCCGAGCCGGCCACCCAGGCAGCAGCCCUGAAUCACUCGGUCAGCCAGCGGCAGGGCAGGCCAAUGGGCUGGAGGGUAGGCAGGCAGGCAGACCCACCUCUGCAUCUCUGCUGACUGCCUCGGCUGAGGAAAGGCAGCACCAGCCCCCAACCCUGAAGUUCUAGAUCUCAUGCAGCCUCUCUGUUCUGGAACCAUCCAGAGGCACUGCCCUUAUACAUGGUCCACCCCCAGGCUCAGACAAUGAGAAUUCCACAAGCAGAGGGGACUCUAUUUGGGGCACAGAGAGGUUAAGUAACUCCCCUCCUAAGGUCUCUCAGCAAGGAAGCCACUGAGCCGUGGGACUUGAGCUCAGGGACUCUUGAUCCCCAGUCUCAGGUGUCACAGCCCCAUCUGGGCUCCUGCUAGGGAGGAGGAAGGCAGCAGGGGGUGUCUGAGGCCAGGGUGCAUCAGCCCUAAAUGCCAGACAGAGGCAGGAGAAGUCUCCCCAUGAGUCCCAGCCCCAUUAGAGGCUCCAGGUCGGGGAUCCCAGACCCCCUAUCCUUGCUGGGAGACACAACCCAGAACUCUGCAUCCCUGCAGCCACCAAAAAAGGCAAAAGCUGCCCAGAAACACUUUCUCCUCUUCCGUGGCCAAAUCCACGAACUUUCUCGAGGUCUGUCCCCCUGCCCCGUGCAGGUCCAGCUUCAGUGCAGCCCAGCUCUGUGCAGUUUUCCACAAAAGCCUGUGGCUUCCUUCUCCUCCCUCUGCUUCUGAUACCCCAGGAGUUACACACAAAAUGUUGGCGGUGGUCUCCAGGAAGACCCCUGCAUCCCACAGCUCUCCCCAGAAGUUGCCAGCAGUGACCUCCUGAGCCCAGGUGGGGAGUCCCAGGCAGGACAGGGGCUGGGGCUGCAGGCCCUGGGGCCCUGUUAGUGAAGCAGCAAGCCGAGGGUCCCUGAGAGUUUCCCUUGGCCCCUCUGAGGGCUGCCCUUUGAGGUCUUGAGGUCUUGGAGUAUCCAUCGCCCCCACGGCUUACUGUCCCCACCAGCGGAGGAUGAAAGUGCCACAGCGAUGUUCCACGCCAAGAGACCACAGAGACCACCAACCCCUCUUCCCACCUCAGGCUUUCAGAGGCCAGCGGAUUUAGGCGGACAGGCUGUGCGCUUGAGGGCAGCCAGGGCGGUCAGUGGAGGGACGUGGUCCGGGGCCUGGCCACAGCUCCCCACCCAGGGCCCUGGGCUAUUGUUACUCACCGCGGAUGAAGGUCGGCGAGUAGGUCGGGAAGGAGUCGAAGAUGCUGUUCGAUGCCAUGCCCCGCUCUGAAGAAGGCGAGAAUUUUCAGCCCUUCAGGGGGUUGGGUUGGGAUUCACUUGGUUGGCUGUUGUUUUAUUUUUUUUUCCUCUAGCUACUUUUGAAAAUAAAAGGGGGGGGUGUUGCUUUUUGUUGUUU
RNAcentral lists this long non-coding RNA (5694 nucleotides) under Homo sapiens (human). Its description in RNAcentral is "HSALNT0290869". The record is from RNAcentral. Lineage: Eukaryota; Metazoa; Chordata; Mammalia; Primates; Hominidae.